UUCUCCUAUACGCAAAAUUCCCCUCCAUCAAAGCCCAAGUCUCCACUAAUUUUGAAAGGGGAUCUAGGGUUUUUCUGAUUUUGAUUGAAUUUUGAGUUUAUCAUUUCGUCUCUAACGAAAUUGGUAAUGCCGGUGGUAACGGAGGAGUCAAGAAGCCACAUCGUUACCGUCCUUGAACCAUCGCUGUUCGUGAGAUUCAUAAAUCUAGUGAAGAUGAGAUUAGAGCCGAGAAGAAUCCUCGCCCAUUUGAUGAAGAUGAUAUCGCUCUCGUAAAGAAUUAUGUUUGAUUCAUUGAGUCAAUAGAUUAUUUUCUGUCAAAGCACUAUGUUAACAGGUUUUCACAAGAUGCAGGUUUUCACAAGAUGCAGGUCUUCACAUGUGUAGGUUUUAACAUUAUACAUAACGAAGUUCAAGUUGUGGAGACAUGUGACUGAGGCUAAGAAGAAACAUUCAGAGAAGAAGAUGACGAAGUCUGAUGAACCUAAGCCAAAAAGACUUAGAAUAGCCAAGGAUACGAAGAAGAGCUCUUCUACUUUAAACAUGCCCAAACGACCUCUUACGGGCUUCUUUAUCUUCGUGAAUAUAUUCUGUCAUUCUUUUUGACGAGAGCAUCUAAGUUCUCUCAUUAAGGAUGUUGCAAAGAUCGGUGGUGGAAAGUGGACGUCUAUGACUGAGGAAUUGAGUUGCUUUAUUAUCUUGUUUCUUUGUUAGUUUCAUGGCGAUUUGUUUCUCUUUGUAGUUUAUCUCAUAAAUUAGUUCUUUGUUGUGUAAGAGUAAUAGUUAGAUUUUUUUGUAUAAGACUUGUUAUAUAUGUUUUGUGUAAUGAAUAUUUUUGAUAAUU
This is a long non-coding RNA of Arabidopsis lyrata subsp. lyrata, 841 nucleotides long. RefSeq lists it as uncharacterized. The record is from RefSeq and is a predicted model, not a curated record. The transcript has 7 exons. NCBI's taxonomy places the organism in Eukaryota, Viridiplantae, Streptophyta, Magnoliopsida, Brassicales, Brassicaceae.